Molecule: long non-coding RNA, 653 nt
Organism: Mesocricetus auratus (golden hamster)
Lineage: Eukaryota; Metazoa; Chordata; Mammalia; Rodentia; Cricetidae
Exons: 3
Source: RefSeq, a predicted model, not a curated record
CCCAUGGUCCUCCCCUUCCCAUGGCUCCCAGGUUUUACCCCUUUUCUACCUGGAGCUCAUUUACCCCACGCCAAGCAACUCACUGCUCUCUGCUUCGGUUGAGGGAGACUUUAGUCUAGUCGUCAAAUAACAUUGCUCGUUCCCAGAGAGCACCCAGCAUAGCUCCCUCAUAGAGCAGUUGCCGGCUGCCCACAGCCAAGCGUCAUUAUGGCUCUGCUUGCUCCUGUGAGCUGCAAGCUUCCUGUGCAUGCAGGGGACCCCGGCAGCGUUAGAGAAUCCUGUAAACCUCAGACGCACUUUGUAAUGGACUGUCUCCAGGUGCCAAAAACGAAACAAACAAAAAAACAAAACAAAACAGAAAUCACAAUUCAUUUUUCCUCUGAAGAGGAGACAGAAAGGAGGAACCAUGCGGCAACUGAGGAUGCAGCUGAGACAGACAGCAACCAGGACCCUGGACUCCAGUUUCCUGUAUCCUUGCUUGGGCCUGCCAGAUCAAGUGUUGUCUGAGGCCAGUACCUAUGCAGACAUUUCCAUUAAGUAAGCCAAGAGACUCACUAGACUAUUUAAGCCAGGGUGAGUUGGCUACCCCACUGCUAAUGACAAAAAAAAAAUAGUCUUGGAUAAUAUAAGCCCUUUUCUUAGAGCCUUUUAUA